GAAAAACCACUUGCUCAGCUUCUCCUUGUAAAUCGCUGGUUAGCCACAAAGUGCCUCUGGGUCUCCUGUGGGGGUGUCCCCUUUCCUUAGUCCUGCCCACGGGGCCGAUGCCCUUUGACCCUUGUGGUAUUCUCAGCUGUGAUUUCUCUCUGGUUUGCUGGGACCUCUCUCCCCUCGCCCUAGUCCUCCCCAGCCGCUCCUUCUCCACGGGGCCGGGCUCCUGGCCCGCACCCCUGCACUGACAGGUCUCCCUCUCCCUCCCUGCAGCCUGGCCACCCAGUACUCCUCUUCCCUGAUCUCACAGCCCACCCGGGAAGGUAAGAGCCUGCCCUGUCUGGCCCGAAGGGAGUGGGGAGAGGCCGGGGACCCGUCUGUGCGGGAGACUGGGGGAGGGGCUCGGGCCUGAGAUUUCCUGUGCCCCCUCCUCCAUCGCCUGCAGCCACAGUGACCACCCGCCAGGUGCGCACCAUUAUGGAGGAAGUCCAGGAUGGCAAGGUGGUCUCCUCCCGAGAGCAGGUCCACCGCUCCACACACUGAGGCCCCUUUCCACCUGUGACAGCCCAGCCUCGAGGGUCACGGGGGAGCCAUCGCCUUGGGCUCCCAGCAUGCUAGUGCCGCACCCUGAGUGCCCAUCUGGGCCACCAGCCAAGAGCUGUUGCCUUUCUGUAUCUGUUUCCUGCAGCCCCUCACCGAGGGUCCUCCUAGAAUUGCCCCAGUGUCUGCUAUUAAAGCUUUGCCUGAAGUUCAA
Molecule: long non-coding RNA, 748 nt
Filed under: Lynx pardinus (Iberian lynx)
Lineage: Eukaryota; Metazoa; Chordata; Mammalia; Carnivora; Felidae
Source: RNAcentral